AUGUCUGAAGGCUUUAGGUCAUGGACGGCAAAUUUAGCUAGGUCACGGACGGCACAUUUAGCUAGGUCACAGACAACACAUUUAGCUAGGUCACAGACAACACAUUUAGCUAGGUCACAGACAACACAUUUAGCUAGGUCACGGACGGCACAUUUAGCUCGGUCACGGACAACACAUUUAGCUAGGUCACGGACAACACAUUUAGCUAGGUCACAGACAACACAUUUAGCUAGGUCACAGACAACACAUUUAGCUAGGUCACGGACGGCACAUUUAGCUCGGUCACGGACAACACAUUUAGUUAGGUCACGGACGGCACAUUUAGCUAGGUCACGGACGGCACAUUUAGCUAGGUCACGGACGGCACAUUUAGCUAGAUCACGGACAACACAUUUAGCUAGGUCACAGACAACGCAUUUAGCUAGGUCACAGACAACACGAUUAGCUAGGUCACAGGCGGCACAUUUAGCUCGGUCACGGACAACACAUUUAGAUCGGUCACGGACAACACAUUUAGCUAGGUCACGGACAACACAUUUAGCUAGGUUAUGGACAACACAUUUAGCUAGGUCACGGACAACACAUUUAGCUAGGUCACGGACAACACAUUUAGCUAGGUUAUGGACAACACAUUUAGCUAGGUCACGGACAGCACAUUUAGCUAGGUCACGGAUGGCACAUUUAGCUAGGUCACGGACGGCACAUUUAGCUAGGUCACGGACAACACAUUUAGCUAGGUCACAGACAACGCAUUUAGCUAGGUCACGGACAACACGAUUAGCUAGGUCACAGGCGGCACAUUUAGCUCGGUCACAGACAACACAUUUAGUUCGGUCACGGACAACACAUUUAGCUAGGUCACGGACAACACAUUUAGCUAGGUUAUGGACAACACAUUUAGCUAGGUCACGGACAACACAUUUAGCUAGGUCACGGACAACACAUUUAGCUAGGUUAUGGACAACACAUUUAGCUAGGUCACGGACAGCACAUUUAGCUAGGUCACGGACGGCACAUUUAGCUAGGUCACGGACGGCACAUUUAGCUAGGUCACGGACAACACAUUUAGCUCGGUCACGGACGGCACAUUUAGCUAGGUCAUGGACGGCACAUUUAGCUAGGUCACGGACAGCACGUUUAGCUAGGUCACGGAUGGCACGUUUAGCUAGUUCACGUAUGGCACAUAAAAGGCUUUGGGAACCACCAGUAUAA
This 1212-nucleotide long non-coding RNA is filed under the name Salmo trutta (river trout). RNAcentral's name for it is "lncRNA (ENSSTUG00000022104.1)". Lineage: Eukaryota; Metazoa; Chordata; Actinopteri; Salmoniformes; Salmonidae. The record is from RNAcentral.